RNAcentral lists this long non-coding RNA (581 nucleotides) under Phoenix dactylifera (date palm). Its description in RNAcentral is "long non-coding RNA (PDAC_LNC018973)". The record is from RNAcentral. Lineage: Eukaryota; Viridiplantae; Streptophyta; Magnoliopsida; Arecales; Arecaceae.
AUCAAAUGUUUCAUACCUUCAUGUUUUUCAGUUAUACAUAUUAUGUUCUCAAGAAUGAAAUAUAUGCCAAAUAUGAUAAAACAGUGUUUCUUUGGAUAUUACUCUUUGAACAAUGCAUAUAGAAUAUUCAAUGAAAAGAUACUAGUUGUAGAAAGAUCAAUUUAUAUUAUUCUUAUUAAAACUAGAUCUUUUAUUGAGAAUAUAGUUUAUCACUUUGAUUCUAUGUAACAAUCUGAAUUUUGAUAGAAACAAUUGUUUAAGAUAAUUUGAUUAAAACUCAACUUGUAUAUCUUAUUGAUAAUUAUCUUAAGCAAAUAGAAUCUAAGCUAAAUUAAUUCUGAAAAUGAAAAAAAAAAAAUUUGACCUUGAUGAAUCCUUCUAUUGCCUCACAUGCUUGUCCUUGAACCAUUUUACUUAAUGAAGUUAUCUCUUUAGUUCAAGUGACUUGUGCUUGCUUAUAUUUAGACAAUCUCUUGAGUAAAGUGACUUAAUAUUCAAUUAUUGUCAUAUCUUAUGUUGAGUCAUCUAGCUAAGAAAUAUAUUGUAUGAAUGUUUUGUAUCUUGAAGAAACUAAUGACUUU